RNAcentral lists this unclassified non-coding RNA (296 nucleotides) under plant metagenome. Its description in RNAcentral is "partial contains 5.8S ribosomal RNA, internal transcribed spacer 2, and large subunit ribosomal RNA". The record is from RNAcentral.
CGCCGCGAGCCCCAGAAUGAUCCAAAGCAGGAGAUGGCUGAAGCGGGCGAUCUGCCGGGUGAGUGGAGUUGAAAUAUCGCUUGAUUCAUGGACGAGCCGCGCGAUGCGACCCAUUUCGGUCUGAUUACCGAUGCUCCAAACUAAACCCUCCGCUUGUCCGUAGGUCACCAGCGUUCCUGCGAAGGCGAGGUUUCGACGGUCGGCAAGAGUGGUUUCGCGUGCUAAAUGCCCCGAAUGCUUCUCCACUGGCACGGAUUCGCCGGUGAGCGCCGCUUCGUCCACUUGAAGGCUGCGGA